CUUCAAUCACUGUAUUCUGAAAUUGACUACUGCAAGGUCAUGGUUGUCUUACAAUAAUGUGGAGUGCUGCAAAAAAUAUGUCUUUGCUGGCUGGCACUUUGAAUUUGUCCCCAAGGUGUGGUUCUUAUGUGCUAGGCGCCCUAAAUUAUCGGUGAAGUAAGAAGCUUGUCCAGACAUAUUUGUGUCUUUCCAAAUCAGUUGAAAAUGAGUGACAUUAUUGUCCAACCAUACAACUUCCUUUUGAAUCGGAAGCGUCUCGAACUAUAUGCUGACUGUGUGGUUGUUCUUGACAAUACAACUCCUAAUAGAAUGGUCCUCCGACGUUAGUUUAAAUCAUACUUUGGACAAAAAAACUCUUUGGUCUCCACUAUUAUAUCUGCAAGCACAACCACGUUGAGGUAUCCUGGAUAUAUG
Long non-coding RNA from Lolium rigidum, 414 nucleotides. RefSeq lists it as uncharacterized. The transcript has 3 exons. NCBI's taxonomy places the organism in Eukaryota, Viridiplantae, Streptophyta, Magnoliopsida, Poales, Poaceae. The record is from RefSeq and is a predicted model, not a curated record.